Molecule: long non-coding RNA, 1458 nt
Organism: Oreochromis niloticus (Nile tilapia)
Lineage: Eukaryota; Metazoa; Chordata; Actinopteri; Cichliformes; Cichlidae
Exons: 2
Source: RefSeq, a predicted model, not a curated record
AUGGGAGACAAUGCUGGGCUGUAAACUGUGAUCUGAAUGUGGGCUGGCUUUUCCUUUCCCCCUCGCCCGCCUCCUCUACCUGUCCGCAGAACUGCCUUAAUUCUUCACGGCAUGGAUUCAACAAGGUGGAAGAUGGCAGCCAACAAAAGUUGGGAACAAUGUGAUCACGAAGAGAUGGACACGGUCACUCAGGCUGUGGCAUUUAGUUGGUAAUAAGGAGCCCAAAAUGUGCCAAAAAAUCCCCCAUACAUUCAGUGUGACAAACACCAACAGCAAUGUCAUAUUCAAAGUCACGUCAGCCACGUUUCUUCCCCGUUCUGAUGCUCAGUUUGAACUUCAGCAGGUCUACAUGCCUAAACAGUUUGAGUUGAUUCCAUGUGAUUGGCUGAUAAGAGAUAUUUGGAUUAAUAAGCAGUAGUUGAAUAGGUGUACCUUUUUAUUAUUAUUUAUUAUAACGUGUGGAGCAAAACAAAAACAUGACAGCUGAUUUAUAAUGUGGGGUACAUUAUGUAUAAAAAUGAUGUAAAGAUGUGUGUGUUUGUGUUCUGUUUAUGGCCGGGUGUGUUGUGACAUUAAGGUUAUACCUGCAACUUGUGGUCAUGUAAAUCACUUCUGACAUUUAAAACAUUUAUCCUAAGCUCUGUAAACUGCUAUUCUCUCCAUGGAAAUGCACUCUGUAAGUUAAUUAAUCCAAAAUGAUCCCUGAGAGGGAAAUCAUCUGGGAAUUCCAGACUUUAGCCAGAUGUGUGCUCAUGGGAAAAGGAAAUAAAGUAAGUAGACAAGUAUUAGUUAUUUACGACUUGUGAAUAAAACCCUUUGAGACAGUUUGUACAAAUCCAGAUAAAAAAAACGAAGUCAUAACUCCUGUUUGAGGUAUCAGUGUUCAGUAAUAUACAUGCUCUUAUCACUCCUGUUAUUUUCUUUAUCAAGUGGAUAUAUCUUUAUCAAGUGGUAUAUCAUUUCAGUCUCUAGCCAGGGCUAACACAGAAAGACAGACAACCAGUCACACUCACCUUCACACCUAUUAGAACCACCAGUUAACUUAACCUCACUAACUGCAUGUCUUUGGACUGUGGGAGAAAGCCGGAGUACCCGGAGAGAACCCACACAGACUCAGGAGAAAAUCCAAACUCCACACAGACAGGCCCCGGCCAGAUGGUGGAUCCAAACCCCAGGACAUUCUUGCUGUGUGCGAAUGACGACGCCAUCGUGCUCUCCUCAAAAUAUAUUCUUAAUUCUGUAAAUUAAAACAUGGUCAUAGUACUGUUCUCCAAAAUACUGCAAGAAUACUACAACUUAAGAAAAAGUUAUAUUUUAAAAAAGCACUAAAACUAACUCACAAUAAUAGUAAUUUAAAUGAAAACACAUAAAUACAACUACAUUUAAAUAGUAUAAUAAAGUUCUCUGUAUAAGCUGUAAUAAAAUGUAUAAGCUGUAAUAAAGUGCAUUUUAUAUCUA